AUUUAUAUAGUUUAAUUAAAACCUUACAUUUUCAAUGUAAAAAUAAAAAUUUUUUAUAAAUA
Molecule: transfer RNA, 62 nt
Filed under: Agulla arizonica
Lineage: Eukaryota; Metazoa; Arthropoda; Insecta; Raphidioptera; Raphidiidae
Description: tRNA-Glu
Source: RNAcentral